GCUUUAAUGUGUGCAUAGUUUUCAUCUGUGUAUGAUAGCAAUAUCUGUUUGUGUUUUGCAUUCAGAUCUUGCUAUUCACACAUACAUCAAGCAGCCAGAGAGUAAACUUGGGAUCAUAGUACUGGUCUAGUGUUGUCUCUUGGGACAUACUCUCCCACUGACCAGCCUCCAAAUUCCCACACACAA
Small nucleolar RNA from Sorex araneus (European shrew), 186 nucleotides. Ensembl annotates it as small nucleolar RNA, H/ACA box 23. Its record names the gene SNORA23. The record is from Ensembl. Lineage: Eukaryota; Metazoa; Chordata; Mammalia; Eulipotyphla; Soricidae.